Molecule: ribosomal RNA, 690 nt
Filed under: Salmonella enterica
Lineage: Bacteria; Pseudomonadati; Pseudomonadota; Gammaproteobacteria; Enterobacterales; Enterobacteriaceae
Description: partial 23S ribosomal RNA
Rfam family: Bacterial large subunit ribosomal RNA
Source: RNAcentral
CAGUGUCUGGUGGGUAGUUUGACUGGGGCGGUCUCCUCCUAAAGAGUAACGGAGGAGCACGAAGGUUGGCUAAUCCUGGUCGGACAUCAGGAGGUUAGUGCAAUGGCAUAAGCCAGCUUGACUGCGAGCGUGACGGCGCGAGCAGGUGCGAAAGCAGGUCAUAGUGAUCCGGUGGUUCUGAAUGGAAGGGCCAUCGCUCAACGGAUAAAAGGUACUCCGGGGAUAACAGGCUGAUACCGCCCAAGAGUUCAUAUCGACGGCGGUGUUUGGCACCUCGAUGUCGGCUCAUCACAUCCUGGGGCUGAAGUAGGUCCCAAGGGUAUGGCUGUUCGCCAUUUAAAGUGGUACGCGAGCUGGGUUUAGAACGUCGUGAGACAGUUCGGUCCCUAUCUGCCGUGGGCGCUGGAAGAUUGAGGGGGGCUGCUCCUAGUACGAGAGGACCGGAGUGGACGCAUCACUGGUGUUCGGGUUGUCAUGCCAAUGGCACUGCCCGGUAGCUACAUGCGGAAGAGAUAAGUGCUGAAAGCAUCUAAGCACGAAACUUGCCCCGAGAUGAAUCUUCCCUGAGCCUUUAAGGCUCCUGAAGGAACGUUGAAGACGACGACGUUGAUAGGCCGGGUGUGUAAGCGCAGCGAUGCGUUGAGCUAACCGGUACUAAUGAACCGUGAGGCUUAACCUUACAACGCCGAA